AUACGGAGGAUCCGAGCGUUAUCCGGAUUUAUUGGGUUUAAAGGGUGCGCAGGCGGCCAUUUAAGUCAGCGGUUAAAUCGUGGGGCUCAACCCCAUUCUGCCGUUGAUACUGGGUGGCUUGAUUGCGGUCGAGGUUGGCGGAAUUCGUUGUGUAGCGGUGAAAUGCAUAGAUAUGACGAAGAACACCGAUUGCGAAGGCAUCCUGCUGGACUGUAACUGACGCUGAUGCUCGAAAGUGUGGGUAUCAAACAGGAUUAGAUACCCUGGUAGUUUACACAGUAAACGAUGAAUACUCGCUGUUUGCGAUAUACAGUAAGCGGCCAAGCGAAAGCGUUAAGUAUUCCACCUGGGGAGUACGCCGGCAACGGUGAAACUCAAAUGAAUUGACGGGG
This 392-nucleotide ribosomal RNA is filed under the name uncultured bacterium. RNAcentral's name for it is "partial 16S ribosomal RNA". It matches the Rfam family "Bacterial small subunit ribosomal RNA", at positions 523 to 918 of the family's 1533-position model. The record is from RNAcentral.